Molecule: non-coding RNA, 68 nt
Organism: Fukomys damarensis (Damara mole-rat)
Lineage: Eukaryota; Metazoa; Chordata; Mammalia; Rodentia; Bathyergidae
Source: Rfam
GCCGUGAUUAUAUAAAUGAAAGCACAUGUUAGACUCCUAACAAGGGUGAGGUGAACUGGAAUAUGAGC